Molecule: non-coding RNA, 4522 nt
Organism: Xyrichtys novacula (pearly razorfish)
Lineage: Eukaryota; Metazoa; Chordata; Actinopteri; Labriformes; Labridae
Source: the annotation of a GenBank genome assembly
GGUGGAUGUAAAGCAUCUCACACUGGUACACAGUAGUCAUUUCCAACUCUGGCCGCUAUGCUAAUCCUCCACUGACACAAAUGCACAGACACACACUUAAAGACACAAACACUGUCCAGAGCCAUGUGACCAGCUGACGCAAUAAAUCCAAAGCUUUAUAAACCACCUUUAGAGAGUGCUCUCCCUUUAGGGACAUCAUUACAGAGCAGGUGUGUGUUUGUGCAACUGAGGGAGGGAAACAGGCGAGUGUGUCUUGGCACAGGGGAGAGCUGUUGCUGCUGCCUUACUUAGUUUAGUGGAUAAGGAAGAGGCCAGAGAGACACAAUAACAAAGGGGAAAAGGGGACUUGGAGUCACAAAGUUGCCUAUCAGACACUCCUGAGGGCUGAGGAGCACUGGAUGAAAACAACUAUGUUUUUCCGCAUCCCAAGACUUACCCCUGGAUACAUUAGAUACCUUCAGGUAUGUAAGAUGCUUUCAAUGCUUUCCUUUUUGGAAUUAAUAAUGAUUAUUUCUGGAGUUAUCCAAGUUCUACGAGUGCUCUUUCGAAUCAACACCUGUUGAGAUGCACAAACCCUGCAGUUUCUGUAAAAAGGUUAAGUUAAAUAAACCAGGACAUACCAGAACCUGGACUGAUUAUCCUGUUUGUUUACUGAUAAAAGCAACAGUGAGCAACAGCUCUGAUCUUUAUGCUAAUAACCAUAAAUUAGAUAAAACAACAAAAUUAUCUAGUGUGAAUGAUGUAAAGGGAUUUGACUUUUAAUUAGCAAAUCCAAUUUCUAUUUCACCAUACCCCUUUUGUAUACAUUCAAUUUAUCAACUCUGCAUACCUAAAGAAAUCCGCUUUGAACGGCAUCUUCACUUCACUUCACCGCUGUGAAAACUCAAUCUGAACUGACAAUACUGACUCACCAAUGUACACAAAGUGCCCAUAUGUGUGUGUCAUGGUAGGAUUUAAAGCAGAAGAUUACUGUGGCCUAACUUUGAAUGGAUUUGAAUCAGGGAUACCUUAGCUAACCAGGGUCAGCCUUUUAAUUGGAUCAGGGGAAAAGCAUGAGAUUGAGGCUUCAAAUCACUCUGGGAGAUCAUUUAAUGACAUGCAUCUGGAUUUAGCAGCCUGUCAAGUGGAUCGUGUACGUUUUAAAAAUGGACAGUGUUAAGCCCAAUUAUCUUGGCCUCAGCUCAUCAGAUUGGGUGUUGAAUAAUAACAGAGAGCAUGGUUACACAAAUGACCUGUUUUGUAUUUUCUCCAUCUGUCUGUGAAGAUCAUGUAACUCAAAAAUGUCAUCUUUUAAAAAUGCAUUUUCUCAGGAAAAUAUAAUGAUAUGACGGUUAGCCUGUGUUAUUUACCUUCAGACCAAAAAGAAUGGAUGAUUUCUAAAUCUGCUUUAUUUUUGAGAGACCCCCCUCAGACAAAAUAAUUAGUUGAUUGAACCAAUGGGGAACCUUUCCAAAUGGAAAUCUAUAAGGGCUCCACCAGCAUUGGUCAUUUUUUUUUUUAAAGACCUCAGAGCACCAAAGCCAAGGUCACUCACUCUGCUUUGUUUAUUAUGUUUAUAUCUGAUGGCAGUCGUUGAAUGUUAGUGUUGACUACGACUCUGUUUUUCAGACCCAGGCAGCUCAGACUGUGCUGCAGAGCCGUGAGGCCCCAGUGAUGCAGCGCAUGGCCAUGCUGAUGGGCCUCAUGGGGGUCGGCAUGUCAGGCUACAGCUCACACCAGCUUACACUGCACUGCAAGCCUGCAAGCCACCUCUUGAGAUGAGACAGAGGAAUGGAGGAUGCACACACACACACACACACACACACACACACACACACACACACACACACACACACACACACACACACACACACACACACACACACACACACACUUAAUCUGACAUUUUGGGAAAUGAGCUUACGAGGGCUACUUUGUAUUGGCAGUGGUCACCCGGCAACCAUUGGAGACUAUGGAUGUUAGUCCUCUAAAAGAUAAAUCAAAACCCCCCACAGAACAAAGAAAGCUUGACUCUACACUUUCUUUAUUAAACAAAAAAAUGGCAAUUUUUAUAAAAUACUGAACUUUGGCAGUGCUAGAAAGCAAUUUCAUGUCAUUACAGUUCCAGGCUUGUGUUUUCAGUGUUCAGGCCAAGCUAGGCUAACUCGCUGUUAGCUAUAGAAACAAAAUACUUCCUCUAUUAUCUGUUAAAAAGCAAAAUAAACUUAUUUCUAAAAAUGUCCUUGCACAAAAUAGUAACAAAAUAAUGAGAGAGGUGUCGCUGCCAGGCUCUCUGUUCAUCUGUUUUUGUUUUUCUCUGUGUGUUUUUAGUAAUGAUCCCUUCUUUGUGGUUUUAGUUUCAUGUUAUCCUUGUUCUGGAUUUGUUAAAGGUGGAUAUUCAUUUGUUUGAAAUGAAAAGAACAUUCACAUGUACAAAACUACCUCUGAUUUGAAGGGCAGUGCAGUAUUUAUUUUUGUAGAUGACAUUCAGUGAGACAGAAAGGUAGCUUUUGGGACUUUUGAUGAACAUGGUUAAUCUGAAACUUUCACCACAAUCUCCCACCCAUAUCCUGUGCCUUAUCAUGGGAGUUAGACUUAAGUAUCCAAAUUAUUUUUUAAACAUACCAAUGGUCUUAAAAGAUAUAAGUUUCUAAAUGAAGCUUAAGCUGAGCUCGUAGAAAUCUUCUUAUAAAAUUUCCGGUCUUUCAAACAACAUUGCUUGUCCUCUGGCAUUUUGGUAUUUUCCAUGAUGUAACACAGAGCAUUCAGCCAGGGUGGAGAUGCCCUGGUCCAUUUGCUCUUUUUAAAGAGAUAGAGAGUGAUAUCAGAAGCAACUUUAACUUAGAGACUUAAGGCAUUUUUAUUACAGUGUCUCUUGAUUCUGGAGUUGACAGUGUGAUUUUUGACAUUUGUGCCACCUCUCUCACUUUAAAAUAUCAAAGGAACAAAUAGGCCAAAAACUGCUCUCAACCCCUCAAAAACACACAGAGAAAAUACUCAAACAGAAACAUAGGAAAUGUCUGAGUUUAUGAUGUGUGACCAAUGCUACCUUGCACUUUUUGUGAAAAUAUCAUGUACAUAAAGAUGCUUAUUAAUGUUAAUGCUGAAUGAGAUUUGUAAAACAACAGUGGAUGCUACCAGCUUUUGUUGUGAGCUGGGCUGGGUGAGGUCUAGCUGGAUUGACACACAGGAUAUGCUGUGUUGUUGUGAGGCAAAGGGAUCAGGUCAGCCACCCUGGAUACCACCUCAGAUAAUAUGUGAUUCCACUUGGAUCUCUCCCGGUAACACGCCAUUGUCAGAAAAGUUGAAUGAAUGACCACAAUGGUCUCUUAACAUAGAUAGACGUUUGUGCUCAUUGAUUUGUAAUGCAUAAAAUGUAACUUUAACAUUAUUUUAAAAAAUCACCGACAAAGAAUGAAAUUUAGCGUCAAGUUUUAAUUGUGUCCUGCUAAGAUUUAACAAGAGGCAGGUAGUCCUUACGCUGUAGUUUGAGUAUAGGAGAAAAGAUGAGCCUGUUAACAGGUCGCAAGGUGUGUGCAGUGAUACAGUGAUCCUCUUAACAAACACUCAUCUUUUUUAGACCAGCUUAUACUGCCAUAUGAUGGGGGUCACUGACCCUGAAACCGAGACACGUAACAGCAUGACAGGGCAAAGAGUGUUUAUUUAUGUCAUUUAAGCUCCAACUGGGACUCUUCUUGAACAAGGGAUUUCAAAUGAGUGGAUAGUGUUGUGUGGAUGGUGGUUGUGUGAUUUGAAAACAAAAAGCAUUAUUUAUCAUUUCUUGUUGCUGCAUAGGCAGUUUUAUUUGUUAAGUUUCUGUGAUUUGACAGUUCUGUUCUCACUGUGGUUUUAAAACAUGUGAUGUUUUGAUUUAAUUUAAACUAUUAAAAGCAUGUUAUAAGAGAGUAAAAUCUACCUGUAAGGUUUGUGAUUUCCCAGACUGAAAGUACAUAUAAAUACAGAUCUGUUGAAGGUGUCUGCAGGAAAUUCAUUAUAAGUGUAUUGUUUUUGUUUGGUAUUUGGUGUUUGUUUGGUGUGUUUUGGAUUUUUUUCUUUUUUUUAAAAUUUCUAAUAAGUUGUUUCUUGACUUAAAGAGAAAAGGCUUUUGUCAGUCAAAUCAACAGACAUAUUUUAAUGAGGCUCUUCAUUUGUUCUAACAUUGUCUCAACAGUGAAACAGCCACAAGUAAUAAUAAUGACAAAUCUUUGCUGAGAUUUGUAAACAAUGACAGAGAUAAUGUGAAAGCAUGUAAAUACAGAUGAUUACCCCUGUGGAGAAUGUUAAGCAUCAAAUGUGAAACAAGCACCACUGAAUAUACAUUAUCUUUGCAAUUAUCUCUCUGUAUGCACGAAUAAAAACUUGUAAAGACAUGGUACCAUAUGCUGUUUGUCACCUGUUUAUCUAAAAUAUACCAAAAAAAUAAGUACUCUCAUCAUACACUAGGUGUCAGCAUACAUUUCUUGUUCUCUACUACCCGUGGAGGUGAACCAUUGAGCCAAAGUGUGUAGUAGACCAACUAAAAUGAGCCAACUGACCCCUGCAC